This 420-nucleotide long non-coding RNA is filed under the name Oryctolagus cuniculus (rabbit). RNAcentral describes it as "lncRNA (ENSOCUG00000037413.1)". Lineage: Eukaryota; Metazoa; Chordata; Mammalia; Lagomorpha; Leporidae. The record is from RNAcentral.
CCUGUAAUUUUAGGGGAUGCCAGAGCAACACUUAAAGUUUGUGAUCCUGGAAACAAAAAUAAACGAAGAUUAAAAUAUAUUACCUCUGAGGGAUUAUUUCCAAGUCUUUCGUGGAUAUCUAGGGAAGGUGCCUGGGAAGAAAUGAAGUGGAUCUGCAUUGGACAAGGAGAAAUAGUUAGAUGAUACAUCGUUCUUACCUCUUGUUCAAGGUGGAAGAUAAAGUCCUAUAAGCAUGGGGCCGGAGACAAUAGUGGCACUGACUUUUAAGCUUCACCGGCAUUGAUGUAAUCUAGACUGCAAAACGUUUUCUUCAUUUUUCUAAAUGUAUAGCAUGAUUAGAUCAUUUUAUGUUUCUCUUUAUUAUAAUCUUGCUAUGUUCCAUUAGGCUCUGGGGGACAAUAAAAUUUGAACAUGCCAACA